GUUGUUUAACCCUGUCAGUCCUGAGAGCCCAGGUUGUUUAACCCUGUCAGUCCUGAGAGCCCAGGUUGUUUAACCCUGUCAGUCCUGAGAGCCCAGGUUGUUUAACCCUGUCAGUCCUGAGAGCCCAGGUUGUUUAACCCUGUCAGUCCUGAGAGCCCAGGUUGUUUAACCCUGUCAGUCCUGAGAGCCCAGGUUGUUUAACCCUGUCAGUCCUGAGAGCCCAGGUUGUUUAACCCUGUCAGUCCUGAGAGCCCAGGUUGUUUAACCCUGUCAGUCCUGAGAGCCCAGGUUGUUUAACCCAGUCAGUCCUGAGAGCCCAGGUUGUUUAACCCUGUCAGUCCUGAGAGCCCAGGUUGUUUAACCCUGUCAGUCCUGAGAGCCCAGGUUGUUUAACCCAGUCAGUCCUGAGAGCCCAGGUUGUUUAACCCUGUCAGUCCUGAGAGCCCAGGUUGUUUAACCCUGUCAGUCCUGAGAGCCCAGGUUGUUUAACCCAGUCAGUCCUGAGAGCCCAGGUUGUUUAACCCUGUCAGUCCUGAGAGCCCAGGUUGUUUAACCCUGUCAGUCCUGAGAGCCCAGGUUGUUUAACCCUGUCAGUCCUGAGAGCCCAGGUUGUUUAACCCUAUCAGUCCUGAGA
This is a long non-coding RNA of Oncorhynchus keta (chum salmon), 634 nucleotides long. RefSeq lists it as uncharacterized. NCBI's taxonomy places the organism in Eukaryota, Metazoa, Chordata, Actinopteri, Salmoniformes, Salmonidae. The record is from RefSeq and is a predicted model, not a curated record. The transcript has 3 exons.